RNAcentral lists this transfer RNA (61 nucleotides) under Mitjaevia bifurcata. RNAcentral describes it as "tRNA-Ala". The record is from RNAcentral. Lineage: Eukaryota; Metazoa; Arthropoda; Insecta; Hemiptera; Cicadellidae.
UGGGUUGUAUUUAAAAAUAAUAUCUGAUUUGCAUUCAGAAGGUGCUUGUUAGCCUUCCUUA